CCUACGGGUGGCAGCAGUGAGGAAUAUUGGUCAAUGGGCGAGAGCCUGAACCAGCCAAGUCGCGUGAGGGAAGACGGCCCUACGGGUUGUAAACCUCUUUUGUCGGGGAGCAAAGAGAGUCACGUGUGACUCAUUGAGAGUACCCGAAGAAAAAGCAUCGGCUAACUCCGUGCCAGCAGCCGCGGUAAUACGGAGGAUGCGAGCGUUAUCCGGAUUUAUUGGGUUUAAAGGGUGCGCAGGCGGAGGUGCACGUCAGCGGUCAAAUUGCGGGGCUCAACCCCGUACUGCCGUUGAAACUGCAUCCCUUGAGGGCGCGAGAGGUAUGCGGAAUGCGUGGUGUAGCGGUGAAAUGCAUAGAUAUCACGCAGAACGCCGAUUGCGAAGGCAGCAUACCGGCGCGCAACUGACGCUCAUGCACGAAAGCGUGGGUAUCGAACAGGAUUAGAUACCCUUGUAGUC
This 459-nucleotide ribosomal RNA is filed under the name uncultured bacterium. RNAcentral's name for it is "partial 16S ribosomal RNA". It matches the Rfam family "Bacterial small subunit ribosomal RNA", at positions 338 to 795 of the family's 1533-position model. The record is from RNAcentral.